GCAAGAGGGAAGGAAUUUGAAAUCCAUGCGGCAAGGUAAAACACUUCAUAAUUUCGAAAUCACCUCUUGAAAUUCGAAUUUAAUCCAUUCAAAAACUCAGACGCCACCUUGGCUGAUGGUUUGAGUGAUUAAAAUCAUUGAACACAUUGCUUAAUGUUUGAAUUUAAAUUCAAAUAACAAACAAUGUCGCCAUGUGUCAAGCAAUGGGUCCAUGUGCCAUGCAAUAAUUUUGGUUUAUUCACCAAUAAUUGCCACAUCAUCUGAGCCUAAUCCCCUUGGGUUGCACCUAAUCAAAUUUGGUCAAACCCGAAUUAAAACAAAGCAAUUUGGUUGAACCCAAUCUAAUCAGGUCAGACCCUCAUUGAGCUCAAAUUGAAUCCAAUUCAAUUUUGGCUCAUGCAAACUCAAUCAAAUUGAAUUAUUACUUUGUGUUGGACCUAAUUCAAUUAGGUCAAUCUCCAAUUAA
This 466-nucleotide long non-coding RNA is filed under the name Phoenix dactylifera (date palm). RNAcentral describes it as "long non-coding RNA (PDAC_LNC019396)". Lineage: Eukaryota; Viridiplantae; Streptophyta; Magnoliopsida; Arecales; Arecaceae. The record is from RNAcentral.